This 613-nucleotide ribosomal RNA is filed under the name uncultured bacterium. RNAcentral's name for it is "bacterial SSU rRNA". The stretch from base 1 to 518 matches the Rfam family "Bacterial small subunit ribosomal RNA", at positions 338 to 873 of the family's 1533-position model. The record is from RNAcentral.
CCUACGGGAGGCAGCAGUGGGGAAUCUUGCGCAAUGGGCGAAAGCCUGACGCAGCCAUGCCGCGUGAAUGAUGAAGGUCUUAGGAUUGUAAAAUUCUUUCACCGGGGACGAUAAUGACGGUACCCGGAGAAGAAGCCCCGGCUAACUUCGUGCCAGCAGCCGCGGUAAUACGAAGGGGGCUAGCGUUGCUCGGAAUUACUGGGCGUAAAGGGAGCGUAGGCGGAUAGUUUAGUCAGAGGUGAAAGCCCAGGGCUCAACCUUGGAAUUGCCUUUGAUACUGGCUAUCUUGAGUGUGGGAGAGGUAUGUGGAACUCCGAGUGUAGAGGUGAAAUUCGUAGAUAUUCGGAAGAACACCAGUGGCGAAGGCGACAUACUGGCCCAUUACUGACGCUGAGGCUCGAAAGCGUGGGGAGCAAACAGGAUUAGAUACCCUGGUAGUCCACGCUGUAAACGAUGAGUGCUAGUUGUCGGCAUGCAUGCAUGUCGGUGACGCAGCUACGACAUAAGACACGUCCGCCGUCGGGAGGUACGGUCGCGAAGUAAGUUAAACGUUAACGAAAGUAAGUUAGUUACGGCGUUGAGACGNGACGACGGACGACGACGAGGGAGGAGG